UACGUAGGGUGAGAGCGUUAAUCGGAAUUACUGGGCGUAAAGCGUGCGCAGGCGGUGAGUUAAGUCUGAUGUGAAAGCCCCGGGCUCAACCUGGGAAUGGCAUUGGAAACUGUCAAGCUUGAGUCCGGAAGAGGCGAGUGGAAUUCCUGGUGUAGCGGUGAAAUGCGCAGAUAUCAGGAGGAACACCAAUGGCGAAGGCAGCUCGCUGGGACGGUACUGACGCUGAGACGCGAAAGCGUGGGGAGCAAACAGG
RNAcentral lists this ribosomal RNA (253 nucleotides) under uncultured bacterium. RNAcentral's name for it is "partial 16S ribosomal RNA". It matches the Rfam family "Bacterial small subunit ribosomal RNA", at positions 524 to 776 of the family's 1533-position model. The record is from RNAcentral.